This 1242-nucleotide ribosomal RNA is filed under the name Staphylococcus epidermidis. RNAcentral's name for it is "bacterial SSU rRNA". It matches the Rfam family "Bacterial small subunit ribosomal RNA", at positions 39 to 1273 of the family's 1533-position model. The record is from RNAcentral. Lineage: Bacteria; Bacillati; Bacillota; Bacilli; Caryophanales; Staphylococcaceae.
GCGGNUGCCUAAUACAUGCAAGUCGAGCGAACAGACGAGGAGCUUGCUCCUCUGACGUUAGCGGCGGACGGGUGAGUAACACGUGGAUAACCUACCUAUAAGACUGGGAUAACUUCGGGAAACCGGAGCUAAUACCGGAUAAUAUAUUGAACCGCAUGGUUCAAUAGUGAAAGACGGUUUUGCUGUCACUUAUAGAUGGAUCCGCGCCGCAUUAGCUAGUUGGUAAGGUAACGGCUUACCAAGGCAACGAUGCGUAGCCGACCUGAGAGGGUGAUCGGCCACACUGGAACUGAGACACGGUCCAGACUCCUACGGGAGGCAGCAGUAGGGAAUCUUCCGCAAUGGGCGAAAGCCUGACGGAGCAACGCCGCGUGAGUGAUGAAGGUCUUCGGAUCGUAAAACUCUGUUAUUAGGGAAGAACAAAUGUGUAAGUAACUAUGCACGUCUUGACGGUACCUAAUCAGAAAGCCACGGCUAACUACGUGCCAGCAGCCGCGGUAAUACGUAGGUGGCAAGCGUUAUCCGGAAUUAUUGGGCGUAAAGCGCGCGUAGGCGGUUUUUUAAGUCUGAUGUGAAAGCCCACGGCUCAACCGUGGAGGGUCAUUGGAAACUGGAAAACUUGAGUGCAGAAGAGGAAAGUGGAAUUCCAUGUGUAGCGGUGAAAUGCGCAGAGAUAUGGAGGAACACCAGUGGCGAAGGCGACUUUCUGGUCUGUAACUGACGCUGAUGUGCGAAAGCGUGGGGAUCAAACAGGAUUAGAUACCCUGGUAGUCCACGCCGUAAACGAUGAGUGCUAAGUGUUAGGGGGUUUCCGCCCCUUAGUGCUGCAGCUAACGCAUUAAGCACUCCGCCUGGGGAGUACGACCGCAAGGUUGAAACUCAAAGGAAUUGACGGGGACCCGCACAAGCGGUGGAGCAUGUGGUUUAAUUCGAAGCAACGCGAAGAACCUUACCAAAUCUUGACAUCCUCUGACCCCUCUAGAGAUAGAGUUUUCCUCUUCGGGGGACAGAGUGACAGGUGGUGCAUGGUUGUCGUCAGCUCGUGUCGUGAGAUGUUGGGUUAAGUCCCGCAACGAGCGCAACCCUUAAGCUUAGUUGCCAUCAUUAAGUUGGGCACUCUAAGUUGACUGCCGGUGACAAACCGGAGGAAGGGGGGGAUGACGUCAAUCAUCAGGCCCUAAGGAUUGGGCUACCACGNGCUACAUGGACAAUAAAGGGAACGAAACCGCGAGUCAGCAAAUC